UAAAAUAACACACAUACAUUUCAUUCCCCACCAAAACACUAUUGUAUUGCGUUUAAUUAACUUAAAAUGUGUCAUGUUCAACUAUACUUAAUAAUCAGUCGUUAAACUAACGUAAAGCAUUUAAUUUUGCGAUUCAAAAAACCGGAAGUGACGAUUUCCAUCGUAUUGGAUGAAGACGGCGCGAAAGAGGGAAGGUGGUGAAUGGCGUCAGACGAGGUUUUUGGAAAGCACUUUGAAACGUUUGUCACUUUCUUUGAUGAAGAAAAGAGAUUUGCCACAACUUUGAGUAAUAACAGCAUUUUAAGAAAUGUGGAGAUGUAAAAUUUGUGGACUUGCAGUUUCUGCAAGGUCUAAAUUACUAAAACACCACAGAGUGCAGCACAGACAUUAUGGUCAUAGUCAGAGGUACAGUAUCCUUGCAUACAUUCAGACUGUCCAUGUACAUUCAAGACAUGGAAUGCUCUACUUAUUCAUCUGAGUAGAAACCAUGCUGCAAACUCUGGAGAAAAUGACAGACAAAUGUCCACCUUCUCUUCUCAUUUGUGUACCUGCAGGAACCUCGCAUCAGAAAGAGAUUACUUUAUUCACAUAAAUAGUCAUUUAAAGAGAAAUGAAACUGUCCAUUGCAUGGUUUCUGGUUGUAAUUUCCAGUCGAAUGUUUGUGGAACUUUUAAUUCACUCAGACACAGAAAACACAACCCACAUUCACUUGAGGAUUUUAGGCCUGGUGUAGUUACUGUACCAUCUCUGGACAAUUACAAGAGCCUGAUGAGGUUGAAGAUAUUGGCAGUAGUGAGACCAGUGAUGCCUGUUUGAAGGAUGACUGCAAU
Molecule: long non-coding RNA, 830 nt
Organism: Tachysurus vachellii
Lineage: Eukaryota; Metazoa; Chordata; Actinopteri; Siluriformes; Bagridae
Exons: 3
Source: RefSeq, a predicted model, not a curated record